This 253-nucleotide ribosomal RNA is filed under the name uncultured bacterium. RNAcentral describes it as "partial 16S ribosomal RNA". It matches the Rfam family "Bacterial small subunit ribosomal RNA", at positions 524 to 776 of the family's 1533-position model. The record is from RNAcentral.
UACAGAGGGUGCGAACGUUGCUCGGAAUUACUGGGCGUAAAGCGCGUGUAGGCGGGACGAUAAGUCGGAAGUGAAAUCCCCGGGCUCAACCCGGGAACUGCUUUCGAAACUGCCGUCCUCGAGUACCGGAGAGGGUGGCGGAAUUCCUGGUGUAGAGGUGAAAUUCGUAGAUAUCAGGAGGAACACCGGUGGCGAAGGCGGCCACCUGGACGGUCACUGACGCUGAGACGCGAAAGCGUGGGGAGCAAACAGG